CCAGGUCUGGAACCAGUUGAAAACACCAGAGCUACUUUACACCAUCUAUCUCCAGGUCUGGAACCAGUUGAAAACACCAGAGCUACUUUACACUAUCUAUCUCCAGGUCUGGAACCAGUUGAAAACACCAGAUCUACUUUACACCAUCUAUCUCCAGGUCUGGAAACAGUUGAAACCACCAGAGCUACUUUACACUAUCUAUCUCCAGGUCUGGAACCAGUUGUUCCAAAACACCAUCUAUCUCCAGGUCUGGAACCAGUAACCAUCAAUCCAUCCAUAGUGGAAAGCAUCAGAUGCGAAGUGAACAUGAUUAUGGAGCUUCCUCUAGUACUAUACAGUCAGCAGUGGUUCACCAUUGACCUCUACAGUAAUGUCUGA
This 378-nucleotide long non-coding RNA is filed under the name Oncorhynchus kisutch (coho salmon). Its description in RNAcentral is "lncRNA (ENSOKIG00005048927.1)". Lineage: Eukaryota; Metazoa; Chordata; Actinopteri; Salmoniformes; Salmonidae. The record is from RNAcentral.